Molecule: long non-coding RNA, 523 nt
Organism: Danaus plexippus (monarch butterfly)
Lineage: Eukaryota; Metazoa; Arthropoda; Insecta; Lepidoptera; Nymphalidae
Exons: 3
Source: RefSeq, a predicted model, not a curated record
UGUAAUAAUUUUUAGAAAGCUAAUGUUUUCUCUGUGUAGGUAUUUGAAAUCUUUAAGUGUUUGGUAUCAACAAAAUCAUGUGACGUUUGGGACGUAACUACAAUAGAGGGCAUUGGUGGCCGUUUGGAAGGUUACCAUCCACUGCAAGUAACGCUCGCGGAGAAUAAUGGUUCACAAUGUGGAUACUGCACUCCAGGAUAGCUCAUGGCCAUGUACAGAACAACUAUGUUGGAAGUAGAGCAGUCAUUUGAAAGCAACAUCUGCCGGUAAUACAGGAAAAGGUAUUUAUCCUAUAGUGGAAUAUAUAAGAGUAUCAACAACAUAAAUGAAGUUAAAGAGCUGAGACAACACUAAAUUGACCAGAACUUUGUUAUCGGCGGAGCGACUACCCUUACUGAAAUUUUGAACUUAUUUGAAAAUUUAUCUCCCAUACAAAACUAACUCCCAUAAAAAUAAGGAAUGAGCAUAUUAAACAAAUCGCAUAUAUUGCUAUAAAAAAUUUAAGUAGAAAUAAAAUCUUAAG